GCACACACACAUGGGCACACAGCCCCAGGAGCAGGAUGGGCACACAGCCCCGGGUAGGAUGGACACACAGCCCCAGGAGCAGGAUGGGCACACAGCCCCGGGAGCAGGAUGGGCACACAGCCCCAGGAGCAGGAUGGGCACACACACACCCCCAGGAGCAGGAUGGGCACACAGCCCCAGGAGCAGGACGGGCACACACACACACACACAGAGUGGCAGGACAGGCACACACAGCCCCGGGUAGGAUGGGCACAGACACCCCCAGGAGCAGGAUGGGUGCACAGCCCUGGGUAGGAUGGGCACAGACACCCCCAGGAGCAGGAUGGGUGCACAGCCCUGGGUAGGAUGGGCACAGACACCCCCAGGAGCAGGAUGGGUGCACAGCCCUGGGUAGGAUGGGCACAGACACUCCCAGGAGCAGGAUGGGUGCACAGCCCUGGGUAGGAUGGGCACACACACACCCCCAGGAGCAGGACGGGCACACACAGCCCCAGGAGCAGGACAGCCCUCCGUGUGUCCCCAGACUGGCAGUGUAGCUUCUUUUGGGAGGCUCAGCACGCCGGGAUCGAUUGGAAAUAUUAAGUACAUUCAGUGCUCAGCUCCCUGGUUUCACUUGAUGAUGCUUUUCAUGAAUUCAGGCUAAUUACUUAAUGACAAUGAACAAACAGCAUUUCAACACCUUUUCAUGUGUAAAUACCUUUAAUGCAAGGUUCUCUUGAUUAAAAGCAAAUAUCAACAGUGAGGUUAAGGAGAAAAGGGAAGGAAGAAAGGAAGGAAGGAAGAAGCCUCUCUUUGUCCCCCUGCUGCCCCCCCAGCUGAGGCUUCCUCUCGCUGGGAAGCUAUUUUCAUGCACUAACUCCACUAGUUUCUCUGGAGACAGAAUUAGCCCCUGUAAUAUAAGCUCUCACUUGUCCUCCUCUUCCAAAAUUCAAGAUAAAAAAAGACCUCUUCUGAUAAGUUAGGAUAAUAUGAUUAGUUUAUAGAAUAGUUCACUGAAAAAUGUUUUGUUUCUUACUUGAUAUGGGACAGAAUCUAAACUAGUAUGACUUAAAAAAACCCCAUAUAUAAAUACAUAUAUACACACACACCUCAUUCUAAGGGGUAAUUUGGUUUCUUUAGCCAGAAGUACCAUAUUGCUAUUUAUACUCUAUUAUGAAAUUAUAUGUAAAUAUUUGCAGAUCUAUGCAGUGAUGGUGGUACUCAGAUGCCACAAGGGUGGGGGGGUGGGGGGGUCUGCAAAGGAUUACAUUAUUUUUAAGUCAACUGCUCAAAUAUUGCAAACAUUCUAACCAAAGCUAAAAGAUGCAGAGGGAUGGAGAAUUAUUUUAUAUAUAUAUACAUGUAUGUAUAACUAAAAAAUGUGUUGUGUCCAAUGCUGCAGUGUUAAACAAUUACCAGCACACCCUGAUGAAGAAACGAAAUUCCUCACAGUGUUGCCAUACCUUGACCAAAUCCAUAAUUACAGUAUGCUAAUUGUGAUGUACUAAACUAUCCUACAAACUUUUUAAACAGAAGAAACACUGCAUAAAAAUCUGUUUGCUAUUUCACUCUGCUUUUCUCUCUAUAUUACCACUUAGUGAGGUAUUUAGGGUGCAAUUAUACAACAGUUUGAUGUUUUCUUGUGAGAUGAAUUCGUCCAAGGCAAUUAUAGCAAGAUAAGUAACUUCUGUUAAAAUUUUACAUAAAGGUUUUUCAAUGGCUGGUUUUGAAGAUAUUAAUUUGCAUCAUUUUACUUUUACAUACAGUGCCCUUAUUAUAAAACCAAUAUUUUGUUUAUUUCCCUUGACUCUGUACUUUAAUGGAAGAGAUCCAGUGAAGCCUAAUGGAUUUCCAUGGAGAUACCUUUGAACUCUUGUUACUGUUAAUUCUAGGAUGAGUCCAUUUACACCUGUUCUGGGAAAUUAAUUACUGCUUUUAACUGACUACAAAAAAUCCUGUGGGGUAGGUGGACAAAGAGCAGAUGUUCUGUAUGAUUAUAUCUCAUGUGAAGCAGAAGGCCAGAGCUAAGCUGAGAAAUACAAACCCAUAUUGGUGCCCAGGGGUAUUUAGCUGACUGUAGGAAGACUUGCUUUGCUCCUUCCCAUAACUAAGUGCUCACAGCUCUUCUGAGGCCCAGGAUGCUGCUCUAGGGGCAGGUGAGGGAGCAGUGAAUGGGCACUGAGUGGGCAUUGAGUGGGCAGUGAGUGAGCAUCGCUCUCCCUGCCUGUGCACCUCCCUCACCCCACGCUGCUCAGAGCUGGCACAGGUCAGCUCUGGGAGCCUGGGGAGGAGGCACUUAGGGAUGACUUCUACCUACAGCUGCAGGGCACCAGCACAGACAAAGUUAUCACUGAGCUCGUUAAUUAUCCUGGCAGCCAAAUAAUCUGGCUACGCUGCCAUCCCCCAUCAGAUGUCACCACUGAACUCUGAGGGCCUCGGCUGCAGUUGCAGGAAGCAAUCCCACCCCCUCCCUGCAGGCCCUGCAGAAACCCUUGCUCUAAGGCAGCUCAAGGGGCACCACUUCAGUCUUCCAACAGGAACAAGAAGUGGCUGCUUGAUGAAGAGCUGAGGUUCCUCCAGAGGAGGUGCUCUGCCAACACCCCAGCUCCGUCCCACUCCAUCUUUAUGAGCUUGUAAUUACACCCAAGAAGAGCAAAGACAGAUGCUCCAGCAGUGCUGGAUUUAACCCUCGUCUCCAUCCCUGCCACUCACGGCAAUUUUCCAAGCAUUAAAGCACUGUUCCAGUGCCUCUCCAAGCAAACCCACCUAGGCACCCAACUUCUCCCUCCCACCAGCACUCCCAGUUUCCACUGGUCCUGCAGUGCUUGGCUUGCAGACAGCAAAGCAGGAGGCCAGCAGGCACAGCCCAGCACCGUUCCCAUUCCCGCUCUGUACUCCACACUCAUCCACAGCCCAUCUCCCAAAUGCCGUGGUUUACGUCUGCUAUUUCCAAGCCCAUUUGUUGCCAGGUUCCGGGAAUAAGCAAAGCAAUUCUGCAAACAUUACAUUUAGGGUAACAGGUAUCAUAAAACUCACAGAAUGUCAAACACUAGCAGUGAAGUCAACUUGAAUUCCCUGCGGAGGGACAGCAAGCACCAGGCAGAGCCAUCGUUCUACACAAGGACACAGCCAGAGGCUGUUAAUAUUUUUUAUUUUAAAGUUACUGUCUUCCAUUUGCAAUUGCUUGUGACUCUUCCAGGCAAGGAGGGGAUUGGAAUAAUUGUGCUACUCUGCAGUCUCUGAUUUAUUUUGUUGAUGGAACAAGAACCACGAUGAUUUGGUUUAAAUUAAUCGUAUUUCAGUAGAAGCACUGGGUGAUGACAGGAGCUUGUUAACUUGCCCUCCCCAAAUACCAUCUCUGCUGCACAGCCUCGGUUUGUACAGAUCCUACACUGCUUACAGGUGCUUCAACACCCCGAGGCACAGCCUCAGAGGUCUUUGGGUCUUUUAGAAACAGAAUUUCUUGUACUGCUCUUGAGGUGCUUGUCCCAUCCAAAGAUCUCCUCCAGCCUCGCUGAUCUCCAGGCAGCUUCUCCUACUCCCCUCCCUCACGUCAGUGAAAUGGAAACCCAGCAGCACAAGUUCAGGUUUUGAGUCAUCCUCCUGAACAGGCUGAAUUAAUGCUCCCAGUUAGUCGCUCUGCAUUAGAUCAGUGUUUAAAUGCACACAAGUAAAAAUUACCCGAUGAAGGGUAAAAUGGGUGAGUGUUCAGUCUCCAGCUGAAGUGUUCUCUGCACUGAGCUCCCGUUCCCUAUCAGAUGGAAACAGAACAAAUGCUGCUCCAGCAGUGUUUGGUUUUGUUUGCUUCUCCCCCAAGCAGAAAUGAUGCGAUUUUUCAGUGAUCAGCCACAUGCAAAUCUGAGCCUCUGAGCUUCUGUCCCAUUACCCCCUUAGAAGACAGGGGCCUAUUGCUACCUUGUAAAACCAGAAACAUCCUGUGGCUUUAAACCAGAAAUCUGCACUACACACUUAUUUUUAAUGUGUCUAAGAUAAUUUCUGUACUACUUUAAUGGAAAUAAAGUUGAUUUAAUUUUGUGAUCUGUGUAGCUAUCAAAAUCCAUCUGUUCAGACCUAUGAAACUUACCCAGGAGCUGAAUUUCAUCUUUCUUAUGAAGUUUUCCAUAAAAAAUUAAACAAGUUCAGAAGGGGAUACAGUAUUUCUCCUCCCCCCGAAAAAGGAACAAGCAAGGAAACAACAGAAACCAAAGGCAGCAGCUCCUCCCUCCCCACACCUUCCUCCACUGCAAAUGUCCCAGAUGCUAAAAUUGGUGCUGGGCUUUGCUUUUUAAGGCACCACGUUAGCAGGAUGCUUAGAGAUAAUUUCAGAAUCAGCUGGAAAUUCAGCAUUUCACAUCUUGUGUAAAAUUAUUUUGAGAGGCAUCUAGGGAAAGGUACCAAAAGCUUUGAGGGGUAUAAUCAGGCCCCAGAUGGGGUGAAACACCAAUGUACACCACUGUGUAAGCACUGAGAAGCUACACCUGCCAUCCCCCAACCACUCCUUUGUAAAAAGCCAAACAAAACCCACCCCGUUUUUCUUUUUACUAAUGAAAACACUAGUAAGUGAACUAUUCUACCAGCUUAGCAACCCAAGAUUACAGAGAGUCCUCGAUGCGUUGUGUUUAAAUUAUGUUUCAAGAGCCAACUUCUGGUGGGAGGGGGUGUGAGUAAUGGAGUAAAACAAGUGCAGUGUACAGAAGCAUUUUGUUAUUAAAAUUGUGUAUACUGUAAAACUGAA
This is a long non-coding RNA of Corvus hawaiiensis (hawaiian crow), 4714 nucleotides long. RefSeq lists it as uncharacterized. The transcript has 2 exons. The record is from RefSeq and is a predicted model, not a curated record. Lineage: Eukaryota; Metazoa; Chordata; Aves; Passeriformes; Corvidae.